GAGUUUGAUCCUGGCUCAGAAUGAACGUUGGCGGCGUGGAUUAGGCAUGCAAGUCGAGCGCGAACCCCGCAAGGGGGGAAAGCGGCGAAAGGGACAGUAAUACGUAGAUAUCUGCCCUCGGGUCCGGGAUAGCUGCGGGAAACUGCAGGUAAUACCGGAUAACAUCUCCGGAUCAAAGGUGUGAUUCCGCCUGAGGAUGAGUCUGCGUCCUAUUAGCUUGUUGGUAAGGUAACGGCUUACCAAGGCAAUGAUGGGUAGCGGGUGUGAGAGCACGACCCGCGUCACUGGGACUGAGACACUGCCCAGACACCUACGGGUGGCUGCAGUCGAGGAUCUUCGGCAAUGGGCGCAAGCCUGACCGAGCGACGCCGCGUGCGGGAUGAAGGCUUUCGGGUUGUAAACCGCUGUCAGAGGGGAUGAAAUGUAGGUGGGUUCUCCCAUCUAUUUGACAUAUCCUCAGAGGAAGUACGGGCUAAGUUCGUGCCAGCAGCCGCGGUAAGACGAACCGUACGAACGUUAUUCGGAAUUACUGGGCUUAAAGGGUGCGUAGGCUGCGCGGAAAGUUGGGUGUGAAAUCCCUCGGCUCAACCGAGGAACUGCGCCCAAAACUGCCGUGCUCGAGGGAGACAGAGGUGAGCGGAACUUAGGGUGGAGCGGUGAAAUGCGUUGAUAUCCUAAGGAACACCCGUGGCGAAAGCGGCUCACUGGGUCUCUUCCGACGCUGAGGCACGAAAGCUAGGGUAGCGAACGGGAUUAGAUACCCCGGUAGUCCUAGCCGUAAACGAUGAGCACUGGGUUGGAGGGCCCCUCAUAGCCUUCCAGCCGCAGCGAAAGUGUUUAGUGCUCCGC
Molecule: ribosomal RNA, 849 nt
Filed under: uncultured bacterium
Lineage: Bacteria
Description: bacterial SSU rRNA
Rfam family: Bacterial small subunit ribosomal RNA
Source: RNAcentral